Molecule: non-coding RNA, 675 nt
Organism: Arachis ipaensis
Lineage: Eukaryota; Viridiplantae; Streptophyta; Magnoliopsida; Fabales; Fabaceae
Source: RefSeq, a predicted model, not a curated record
ACCAUAUAGCAAAUACGUUUUCCUCCUAGUCUCAAACGUAGUUGUAUUUAUGGCAUCUAUUUUGUGAUGUUCAUUUUAUUAUGAGAUAUUUGGUGUGCUUUUUUAUUUCUUGAUAUUAAUGAUCAACAAUAUACUAUAUUAUUUUUUGUGCUUUUCAUUUUCUUAAAUAGAAUCUGUCACACAGUAUCAUGAUGAAUUGCUUAUACAAUUACCAAUACUUUUUAUUUCUAUUUGUUCUUCACAUUCAUUUCAUAGUCUGUUCUUUGAUUAUAGUGUUCUUUCUUUGCAGGAAGAAUUUCAAUUGGCAAUCUUCAAUAAUAGGAAAAAGGAGAAUAUCUUUGCCAAUCGGGUACCAUACAUGCACAACAUGCGUCUGGUUUAUGAAUAAGGCCUUCAUUUUAAGGUUUCUUGCAUGCAUGAGUGAAUGCCUAUCUAGCAUCACAAAUGUACUUUGUUAAAUCGAUGAUUUGCAAUGCAAAUAGGUUAAUGAAGACAUUUUUCAUUUAGGCUCUAUGAUUUGGACAGCACAGGCUUUAUGGAACGCCAAGAGGUCAAGCAAAUGUUGAUUGCGCUUCUCUGUGAAUCUGAAAUGAAGCUAGCAGAUGAGGUGAUCGGGGUUUUUUUUAAUAAAUACAAAACGACGUUGUUUCAGUCCUCUCUAAUGGCAAAGAUAGA